UGAUUGUGUUUAUUGUACUGUUGCUUUAUUGUAUUUUCAUAUGAGUUAUGCUUAAUGUCGUAUUUUGAUUACACUACUAUAUAUUUAUCAAAUUAUUUAUACUGAGUUACGCUUAACGUUGUAUUUUGAUGACACUAUUAUAUGUUUAUCAAACUAUUUAUCCGUAGCGAAGCACGGGGUUUUCACUAAUUUAGAUAAAUUCUAUAGGCUUUUAUCAAAAAUAGAUCGUGUCACUGCCACUCAGCCUUUAAUGUUAGGACAUGUUUGGAUCGAAAUCAUGACUAAAAUUGAAAGCCAAAUCGGAAUAGGCUGGCGUCAAAACCGAAAUGACUCGUUAGGUUAUUUUAUUCAGUUUGUCGAACUAAGUCAGAAUCAAAAAAUUUUUUAUUUUUUGAGUGAGAAGUUUUAAAAAUGAACUCAACUAGAAAUAUAAAAACAACUGUGUUUCGAAUUUAGGACCUUAGAUACUAACCAUCAAGCCCUCAGCUAACUCUGCUAAGUAUUAUUUUCAUUGUCAGUAUUUAGUUCAGCAUUUGGUUCACUUAGAUGCCAUGAUCACCGCCCCAGUUAAGCUAAUCUUCAUUUCGAAUUGUAAUAUAAAAUUCCAAUUCGGGUCAGUUUGUUGUGGAAUGUGGAUUCAGAGCCAGAUAAAAUCUUGGAUAUCCGUACCCAUUGAUGCUCCUAAUAUAUGGUUCUGUAGAACUUAUCCUAACUCCUAAGACUUUGUUUGGAAUUGCGAAAAGAUUGCGUUAUAUACGUGGUGAGAAAGCGAGGUGAAAAAAAUAUUCUAUUAUGUUUUCGUACGUAAUAUUCCGUUUCGCAUAUCGCAAUGCGUUGUGAUGUUACGAUAUAUUUUCUAUGCUCCCAGUGAAAAACCCAUAAGUAUAUGUUAUAUGCUUUCACUGGGGAUGUCAAUGGGUACAGAUAUCCGAAAUUUUAUUCGAACCCGAAUCCAAACGGAGCGAAUUUAUCCGAUACUAAAUGGAUAUGGUUUCAGAUAUGGAUAUCAAAAACAAAACCCUAUGGAUAUGAAUACAUAUAUGGAUUUUGACUAUACCCAACCUGAACCUGAAUCCGACCCGAACUCGAUCCGAAUCCGAAUUUAUUUUACAUUAUAUAUAAUAUGUAUAUAAAAAUUUGAUAUUAUAUUUGAAUUUAUAUUUUAAAAAUUUAAAUUUAAUAUAAUAUAUUUUGAAAUAUUGAAAAGUGAAAUAAUUGUUUCGGGUUCGGAUUUUCGGGUUCGGGUUCGAGUUUCGGGUUUGGAGUCGGGUUUGGGUUCGAGUUUUUGAAAAUCCGUCCCGAAUCCGACCCGGUUGACAUCCCUAGCUUUCG
Molecule: long non-coding RNA, 1332 nt
Filed under: Ananas comosus (pineapple)
Lineage: Eukaryota; Viridiplantae; Streptophyta; Magnoliopsida; Poales; Bromeliaceae
Description: long non-coding RNA (ACOM_LNC021570)
Source: RNAcentral